GGGCCCGCACAAGCGGUGGAGCAUGUGGUUUAAUUCGAUGAUACGCGAGGAACCUUACCAGGGCUUAAAUGUAGUGGGACAGGUCUAGAGAUAGACCCUUCUUCGGACUCAUUACAAGGUGCUGCAUGGUUGUCGUCAGCUCGUGCCGUGAGGUGUCAGGUUAAGUCCUAUAACGAGCGCAACCCCUAUCGUUAGUUGCCAGCGGGUAAUGCCGGGAACUCUAGCGAAACUGCCGGUGCAAACCGUGAGGAAGGUGGGGAUGACGUCAAAUCAUCACGGCCCUUACGUCCUGGCUACACACGUGCUACAAUGGUCGGUACAGAGGGCUGCAAUACCGUAAGGUGGAGCGAA
This 351-nucleotide ribosomal RNA is filed under the name uncultured bacterium. RNAcentral describes it as "bacterial SSU rRNA". It matches the Rfam family "Bacterial small subunit ribosomal RNA", at positions 917 to 1271 of the family's 1533-position model. The record is from RNAcentral.